GGCCUGGUAGCUCAGUGGUUAGAGCACCUGGUGCAGUUCCAGAAUGUCCUGGGUUCAAACCCUAGCCUAGCCA
Molecule: non-coding RNA, 73 nt
Organism: Rhizopogon salebrosus TDB-379
Lineage: Eukaryota; Fungi; Basidiomycota; Agaricomycetes; Boletales; Rhizopogonaceae
Source: the annotation of a GenBank genome assembly